Molecule: long non-coding RNA, 1004 nt
Filed under: Triticum aestivum (bread wheat)
Lineage: Eukaryota; Viridiplantae; Streptophyta; Magnoliopsida; Poales; Poaceae
Description: long non-coding RNA (TAES_LNC023200)
Source: RNAcentral
CAUUGGAAUUUAUAUAUCCUCUCUGACUAAACCCUGGAGCGACCAUGCCGGCCCAGGAGUACAUGCAGGGGGGGCACUCCCCUAAUUUAAAGCGAUCGACCUAAAAAAAAGGCGCAAAAGAGCAAAGCUACACAGAUGUCGCUGCUCUGCUUCCAUUCUACAGGGCUGGCUGGCUAAACUAUGAUGGCUCCAGCAGAAUCAUGUCAGUAGGAGGGCAGCAAACAAACAACAAAGCCCAGCCAGCCAUCACAAAAGCAUAGUGGCCAAAGCUACGAAAGGGAAAAGAAACUUCAGAAAACAGAAACUAAAAGAGACCAAAAUAAAAGCUAGCCAGCUUGCUUGCUUGCCUGCUUGCGUUGAGACCCAUUUUGUUGUUAGCACAGCACAGUGGUCGUCUUCUACCCUGCGUCUGACCUGUCAGCGUCUCAUCCAUGCAUGCUGCUUCCUAUGUUUGCACCAUGCCAUCAUGCCCUACCCUACCCCCCUCAUCCUCUUUUACCUCUUUGUUGUGUUGUGUGGCUUCUGAGAACUAUGUCAGUCUUGAUCUCAUCACAUCGCAUCCAUCAGGGCCAGGGCCAGGCCACCUUCAUUCUCCACCGCCCCGAAUCAUUCCAUUCCAAAGAUCGGCGUCUGAAAGGCUGCCACAUUUGGGUAGUAUCCAAAGGACCCUGCCGUCACCGAGCUUUCGUAGGGCCCGCCGCUGCUGAAAGCCGCCAUGGGCGUCGACGCGCCGAACCCCAUGGAGUGAUGCUGAUCAUGCUGCUGCUCCUGCCCCUCCCCCUCGUGCUGCUGCUGCUGCUGAUCGUGUUGCUGAAGGUGCAAGUCGCCGGCGUUGCUGCCGUAGCAGUGAGGCGCCAUCGCGCCGCCGGGGCCGGCGUUGGCGAAGUCCAGGUUGACGCCGGAGCUGUAGAGGCCGUAGCCGAGCCCCUGGAGGUUGCCCUGCUGGUGGUGCUGCAGGGCCAGGAACGACAGGUAGUCCUGCUGCUGCUGGUCGUACUUCAUCG